GGGCGGGGAGCGGUUGAAAGCGGCAGGUUGCUAACCUGUUAUAGGGCCUUAAAACCCUAUCGAGGGUUCGAAUCCCUCCCUCUUCGCCCU
This 90-nucleotide transfer RNA is filed under the name Candidatus Nealsoniibacteriota bacterium. RNAcentral describes it as "Candidatus Nealsonbacteria bacterium tRNA-Ser". The stretch from base 7 to 86 matches the Rfam family "tRNA". From Rfam's summary of the family: Transfer RNA (tRNA) molecules are approximately 80 nucleotides in length. Their secondary structure includes four short double-helical elements and three loops (D, anti-codon, and T loops). The record is from RNAcentral. Lineage: Bacteria; Candidatus Nealsoniibacteriota.